This 466-nucleotide ribosomal RNA is filed under the name uncultured bacterium. RNAcentral describes it as "partial 16S ribosomal RNA". It matches the Rfam family "Bacterial small subunit ribosomal RNA", at positions 28 to 507 of the family's 1533-position model. The record is from RNAcentral.
GAUGAACGCUGGCGGCGUGCUUAACACAUGCAAGUCGAACGAUGAAGCCCAGCUUGCUGGGUGGAUUAGUGGCGAACGGGUGAGUAACACGUGAGUAACCUGCCCUUAACUCUGGGAUAAGCCUGGGAAACUGGGUCUAAUACCGGAUAGGAGCGUCCACCGCAUGGUGGGUGUUGGAAAGAUUUAUCGGUUUUGGAUGGACUCGCGGCCGAUCAGCUUGUUGGUGAGGUAAUGGCUCACCAAGGCGACGACGGGUAGCCGGCCUGAGAGGGUGACCGGCCACACUGGGACUGAGACACGGCCCAGCCUCCUACGGGAGGCAGCAGUGGGGAAUAUUGCACAAUGGGCGCAAGCCUGAUGCAGCGACGCCGCGUGAGGGAUGACGGCCUUCGGGUUGUAAACCUCUUUCAGUAGGGAAGAAGCGAAAGUGACGGUACCUGCAGAAGAAGCACCGGCUAACUACGUG